Long non-coding RNA from Hydra vulgaris (swiftwater hydra), 910 nucleotides. RefSeq lists it as uncharacterized. Lineage: Eukaryota; Metazoa; Cnidaria; Hydrozoa; Anthoathecata; Hydridae. The record is from RefSeq and is a predicted model, not a curated record.
GUUUCAGUUUAAUUAAAAUGAAUACUUGUUCAAUUUGUCAACUUACCUCAUUUACAAGUUUAUCCUGUGCUUUAUGUACAAAAAUUGUUGGCACCAAAUGUCAAGGUAGUAGAACCAAUGAAUACAAUGUGUGAAUACAAUGCUGUGUAUAAAACUUGUACAGGUCCAGCUAUAAACCCCUGGUAAACCUUAUAAUUUUGCCAGAACCAGUUUCACACACAACAUUUACAAAGCUAGUGGUUCUAUAAAAACUUAAGGAAAGAAUAAAUUUUAGAGUUGUCAUCGGCUAAAAAGAUAACGUUUAAUACAAAAGUCGCAUUCAUAUCUAAAAACAGGUAACGUGACACCAGGUUUUUAAACAGGUGAGUUUUAUCGCAUUUAUUUCAAUUUUAUUUUAUUAAUGAUUGUUUUAUUUAACUAAUUUUUGUUUCGUAAAUACCUAAUAUUUACCAUUCAAAUUUAAAUAUUUUUUGUAAAUAAAACUAAAUCAUCGGAUUUAGUUGAUGAACCUAUUGAACCUCGGAUUUAGUUGAUGAACCUAUUGUCUACUGUUGAAACAUGAUUUGAUUCAGUAAAUUUUUAUUAUUUGAAUUUUACUGUAUUAAUCAUUAGUCAACAGUUAGCGAGAAACUGGUGUUCUACGUAAUUGAGGUAAAAUUAAUUUUGUUCACUGGUAACAUUCCAAAACAGUUUUUGUGGUUUAUUGUUUUAUAUCUAUAUUGUGCUACUAUAUUGUUUUAAUGAUAGAUUAAUUGAUGAACAUUUCAAUCGUCACCAAAAAUUGAAUUUUCCUGUUUGUUGCAGGCUUGUUUUCCUUUAAUUAGGAGUAUGGUAGACUUAAAGAAGCAGUUCAUAUCUAAACGACACAAAUUGUCAAAAGCAAGAGAAAUAAAGAAAAAAAGAGUUUUAU